RNAcentral lists this long non-coding RNA (833 nucleotides) under Nicotiana benthamiana. RNAcentral describes it as "long non-coding RNA (NBEN_LNC003978)". The record is from RNAcentral. Lineage: Eukaryota; Viridiplantae; Streptophyta; Magnoliopsida; Solanales; Solanaceae.
UCAAGGGUACCAAUCUAAUACCCCAUAGAAACCUUACUAUGUUUAACUGUGCAUGCAUCAUGGUCAAACCUAGCUGAGUCAGUUAUGUUGUCCACAUAAUGACUCAUUAAGAUAGCCCUGUCCAAAGUCCACCUCUAUGUGUAUUUAUUUGGAGAACUAAAUGCUUUUUAUGCUAAUUGUUGGUUUAAAUAGUCGAGUCUGGUGGAGUAAGGGCUUCCAGAUAUUGACUCAUUAAGAUAGCCUUGUCCGAAGUCCACCGGGUUUCCUUGAAACCCAAACGGACGCCACCAUAUUCUAUGCAUUUAUGGAGAACUAAAUGCUUUUUAUGCUAAUUAUUGGUUUAAAUAGUCGAGCCUGGCGGGGGUAAGGGCCUCACCCUUUUGUUUUACAGAAAUGAAUUACAAAGUUCCCAACUUCGGUAUGGUCAACAUACCUUCACUCUUGCAGACUUGGCGGAGAAACCUCCCAUCGAGUAGCCAAAUCAACGAAUGGAAAGAGAGAGUCACCAAGGCUAGUGAGAAGCUAGAAUACCAGUAGUACAACUUGCUGGAAUUGGAAGGGAAAGUGAGGAAAAGAGUCAUCGACUGUCAAAAUGCUGAGGAAGGCAAAGCAAAACGUCAGGCGAUAGCAUUUUUAUUGGAAAAUCUGCACGAGCUAGAGGACUUGAUCAACGAGAACAUUCAACCUGAAGAAGGUCCCUCCGGGGCCAAGUAGUUAGGAGUCUCUUUCUUUUGCUUUAAUGAUGUAAUAAGGCCAAUGGCCAUUAGUGAUAUUUUUCUUUCCGUUAUUUAGUGUUGUUUUGGGAUUCGUCUUGUUUUUAUUAAUAAAAUGAG